GUGCUUGCUUAGGCAGCAUAUAUACUAAAAUUGGAAUGAUACAGAGAAGAUUAGCAUGGCCCCUGUGCAAGAAUGAUAUACAAAUUUGUGAAGUGUUCCAUGUUUUU
This 107-nucleotide small nuclear RNA is filed under the name Sciurus vulgaris (Eurasian red squirrel). The record is from RNAcentral. Lineage: Eukaryota; Metazoa; Chordata; Mammalia; Rodentia; Sciuridae.